This 253-nucleotide unclassified non-coding RNA is filed under the name uncultured Caryophanales bacterium. RNAcentral's name for it is "uncultured Bacillales bacterium contains 16S-23S intergenic spacer region". It matches the Rfam family "Bacterial small subunit ribosomal RNA", at positions 524 to 776 of the family's 1533-position model. The record is from RNAcentral. Lineage: Bacteria; Bacillati; Bacillota; Bacilli; Caryophanales.
UACGUAGGUGGCAAGCGUUGUCCGGAAUUAUUGGGCGUAAAGCGCGCGCAGCCGGUCCUUUACGCCUGAUGUGAACGCCCACGGCUCACCCGCGGAGGGUCAUUGGAAACUGGAGGACUUGAGUACAGAAGAGGAAAGUGGAAUUCCACGUGUAGCGGUGAAAUGCGUAGAGAUGUGGAGGAACACCAGUGGCGAAGGCGGCUUUCGGGUCUGUAACUGACGCUGAGGCGCGAAAGCGUGGGGAGCAAACAGG